UGAUGCUCUAAUGAGGAGAUUGGUACUCUAGGCCCGAGCGCUUUCUCUUCAGGGUUGUAAAUCUGUUGUGUGUCCCACAAAUUCCUGGUUUUCCACCAUGCAGGUCUGACUAGUGUUCACGAGUGAGCUGUGUUUCAUUUCCACAUCAGGUUAAAUGAGAGGCUGUGUGGCAGAGCAGAGGGACUGAGUUGGAGAGCGCUGACAGGCUCAUCAAUCUUUAUACAUCCAGAAUGGAAGCAGAUCGGCAGAGCAGAGCACCAGAGUCCUUCCCAUUCAGAAGUCCAUCGGCUACUAGGAGGGUGAGGAAUCCACAUAGCCUUCCUCUUGAAAUUCCCUCCCCUCGGUUUGAUGUAGAGCACGGCCAGAAACUGACUGGUGAGGAAGAGUGGAAUGGACCCAAAGGCUGUUGUUUCGGGAGUGAUUUAGACCAGCAAGAUGUUGGGAGCGUGCUAGACCAUGCCCACAAU
Molecule: long non-coding RNA, 467 nt
Filed under: Apteryx owenii (little spotted kiwi)
Lineage: Eukaryota; Metazoa; Chordata; Aves; Apterygiformes; Apterygidae
Description: lncRNA (ENSAOWG00000002438.1)
Source: RNAcentral